Molecule: long non-coding RNA, 41486 nt
Filed under: Setaria viridis
Lineage: Eukaryota; Viridiplantae; Streptophyta; Magnoliopsida; Poales; Poaceae
Description: long non-coding RNA (SVIR_LNC003812)
Source: RNAcentral
GAUGUGCAGGGUCUCCAUUGGCAGCCAAGGCACUAGGAUCUGUACUACGUGGCAAGACAACAGAAGAAUGGAAGGCUGUGCUUAGCAAAAGCAUCGCCCAUAACAAGGACGAUCAAAUCCUGCCUAUUCUCAAGCUCAGUUACGAUGACCUGCCAUCACACAUGAAGCAGUGCUUUGCUUUCUGUGCUGUGUUUCCCAAAGACCAUGAGAUUGACGUGGAAAUGCUGAUCCAACUAUGGAUGGCAAAUGACUUUAUUCCCGAACAAAAAGAUGUUGGUAAACAGAUUUUCAGUGAGCUGGUCUCAAGGUCAUUCUUCAAGAUGUGAAGCAAGUCAAAGGGGACACAAGAAUUAAUUCCGUGUAUUGGUAUUUCUCUACAAGUAAAUGUAAAAUCCAUGAUCUUAUGCACGAUGUGGCACUAUCUGUCAUGGGCAAAGAAGUUGCUACCAUGACUGAGAAGCCAAAGCAGAGUGAUGAGUUUCUUCAGAACACUUGUCGUCAUAUAUUGUUAUUAUGUGGCAUGCCAGAGGCCGUUUUGAAUGAUUCUCUGAAUAUAGGGUCUCCAGCUAUGCAAACACUACUAUGUUAUCAGCACAUAGAAGGUUCCCUGCAGCAUCUCGCAAAAUACAGCUCUCUGCGUGCAUUGAGACUUUGGCAGAAUAAGAGCACAAUCCUACUGAAACCAAACCAGCUACAUCUCUUGAGGUAUCUUGAUAUCUCGCGUAGUGCUAUAGUGUCACUUCCGGAAGAUAUCAACAUUUUGUACAAUCUGCAAACACUGAAUGUUGCGUACUGUCCCAAACUUGGCCGGCUUCCAAAGGGAAUAAAGUACAUGACUGCCCUCCGUCACCUCUACACUCACGGAUGUGGGAAGUUGAAGCGCAUGCCACCGGAGGUUGGACAUCUCACUUCCCUGCAAACACUUACAAAUUUUGUAGUGGGUACAGGCCAUGAUUGCAGUAGUAUUGCAGAGCUGCAGCAUUUAAACAACCUUGGUGGUCCACUACUGCUUAGUCAACUCGAAAAUGUGACAAAUGCAGCAGAUGCAAAACAGGCCAAUCUUGGAAAUAAAAAGGAGCUCAGGGAAUUGUCAUUAAGGUGGACCUGGACAAGUAGUGAGGAGGAGAAACAACAUUGUCAUAAGGUGCUGGAGGGUCUCGAAGCUCCUCCUGGACUAGAGGCUCUGAGGAUAGAUCAUUACCACGGAACCAGUUUCCCAACGUGGAUGGGUACGCUGACAAAAAUGGUGGAGCUUCAUCUUUCUGACUGUAACAAGUCCAAUAAGCUUCCUCCACUUGGGAGUGUACCAGCUCUACAAGUUCUUCGUCUGGAAAGAUUGAAAAAACUGGAAAGCUUGUGCAGUGGUGGUACAUUCUUUCACUUUCCUAAUCUGAAGGAGCUUAGGCUGGACGAACUGCCGGAAUUUGAUAGAUGGUGUGAAGUAAACUGGGUCCAAGGAGAACAGAUAAUGUUUCCUCAACUUGAGAAGUUGUUUAUUACAAAUUGUGGAAAGGUUACAGCAUUACCAGGGCCAGCACUUCUCGGAGGAUCGUGCUGUGGAGAUUACAAGGAGCAAGACGAGUGGAAGCUUUGGUCGGCAUUUCCAGUCCUGAAGGUACUCGAAUUAAAAUGGUUAGCAAAGUUUCAGAGGUGGGGGGGCGCUGCUGAAGCAACUCAAGGGCUGCAGAUAAUAUUUCCUCAGCUUGAAGGGUUAUCAAUCGAAACGUGCCCCGAACUGGCAGCAUUACCAUCAGCAUUACCAUCAUUUGACCAUAGUGAUGUUACAGCAUGGUCAGCAUUUCCAAACUUAAAGAGGCUCCGGUUACGUUACUUAGAUAGUUUUAAGAGCUUGGGGAUGACGGAAGAGCAGAGAUUCCCUGACCUUGAGACUCUGUGUGUUGAGAAAUGUCCCAAGUUGACAACUCUACCGGGGGUGAUAGAAGCACCAAAGCUCGGUGUAUUACAAAUAAAUGGCAGCCAACUGAUAGCAAUAAUGGUGCCUACAAUUAUUAACUCAUUGUCCGAACUGGCGUUAUCAAUCCAAGACACAGAAACUACUUUACCAACUGUGCAUAGGGCCUUUGAGCUGGUGGACGCCAGUAAUAAAUCCCCUCUGACACGUCUGCAGCUAAGAGGCUGCAACUUUCUGUUCCCCUCAAGUCCACUGGCACUAUGGACAUGUUUUGUCCAGCUCCAACAUUUGGCAAUUUGGAACCAUGCUCUUGUCUACUGGCCGGAAAAAGAGUUCCAGAGCUUGGUAUCCUUGAGGCUCCUUUCCAUUGACAAGUGCAGUGGUCUGAUUGGGUACGCGAAAGCUGCUCCUGGCCAACCAAUAUCAGAAAGGAGCCGCCAAGUUCUGCCCCGUCUCGUGUCUCUAUACAUAGAGGAUUGUGAAAGUCUGGUAGAGGUCUUCAACGUCCCCGCAUCUCUCAAGAUGAUGGAUUUGCGCGGCUGCCCUAAGCUUAAGUCCACAUUCGGAGAGCAACAGGACGAGCCAACAUUAAAUCAAGGGCCCAGCGCUGCACCGAAGCUGUCAUCAUCGGCCCGGGACGUUCCAUGUCUUGAAUAUCUAAGAAUAUUGCGGUGCGAAAGCUUGUCAGAGGUUCUCAACCUUCCCCCAUCCCUCAGGGAAAUACUUAUUCGUGAGUGUGGCAAACUCCAACUCCUAUCAGGCCAGCUGGAUGGACUUCAAAGACUAGAUAUUUGGGUAUGCCCAGAGUUGAGAUCACUGGAAUCUUGCUUGGGAGAGUUUUCAACCCUGGAACGCCUCAGUCUGAUGGAUUGCAAAAGCCUGGCAUCCUUGCCCGAUGGGCCACAAGCAUACUCAUCUCUCCGUGAUCUUCGAAUUACAUCAUGUCCAUGUAUACAGUCGCUUCCUUCAUCCCUGAAGAAGAGACUGGACAACAUCCCUGAAGAAGAUAAAGAUUUGGAUGCUCGUUACGAAGGUACCCACCAAACUCAUUUGUCGUUUCACCAUAGUUUGAAUGCAUAAAUCUGCUCAUGCUUUCUAGAAAUAUAUAUACCAGUCGCCUUAAAGCAUCCAUGCAGUAGUUUGAAUGAUAUGGUGUGAUUAUUUUUACAUUAGAGAAAGGUGCAGCACACGACCACAGAAUUUUGGUGCCUUGGUAUAAUCAUGUCGAGUUGUAUUACUUAAUUAUCCAUUUUGAAUUUCUGAAUAGAUAUGACUACUAAAGAAGCUGCUUAACGAGAAUGAUAUGUAAGGCAAAAUAGAGUAUCUUUGGUCCUCCACUUCUGUCUUCAGUUCAUCUUUAUUAUGUGAACUGCUACUAGUAUUUGCGUCUAUAGACUAUAGCUAGGUGUGAACUGUGCCCAGAAAUUAUUGACAAGGAAUAGUGGAAAGAACUCAGCAAUCACUAAAAAAGCAUGAAGAGUGUCCCACAAAGUUACUUUUUCAUGCAGUUGUCAUGGUAGAUUGCUGGUUUCAGCACUUGCACAAUACGAAAUUUAAAAAAUCCAAGGGAUCCCUCCACACUUGGACAACUAAGAACACGACUAUAGAUUGUUUUCAAUUUGCAUUGAACUGAUAUUUUUCUAUUUCCCUAAUGUUACACCCCAAAUAGAGAUGCCAUGUUGCCAAUGCAACGAAGGUUUUUACUUGUCAAUUUAAUUGAAUUUUGCUGUCUAAAGGACAAAAUGUGGACUAAAUAAAAGGUCCCAGGAGCCUACUGUGUGGUACCUUUGUUUUAAUUGUUUUUGCUAACUUCACGCCUUUGGGUGCACAAAAAUGUACUAUUUCUGUUUUUGUUUCAGAAAGAACUGGAAUUUUUCUCUUUGGAAUUCGGUAGUUGUAACUCGAAUCUGCUUGACGUACACGUUUUUCAUGUUAUACUAUUGAUAAAUUCUAACAUCAGCGAUUACCAGGUGCCAAGUUAUUGAAACCAAAGACAUGGAAAUAUGCCAUUCAUUCGUAGAAAUCAGUGAGCUGUCAAAACAUGAAGUACCAGGUUAGUAGCAUAAAAAGUUUGGGUUUUUAUUAGAAUCAUUUCAAUUAAUCUAGUGUUGAUUCCAUAUCCUGUCUAUUGUAGGGACAUGUUUGCCUCAUUUACUGUCAGCAUCCAAACCAUAAUAUGGAAAUGCUAUUUUCCUUCUAUGUUGAUCGUUGAUCAAGGUCUGAGUUACCAUACAGGCUCUGAUGCAAGUUGUUAAAGGCAGUAUAAAUUCUAUACCAGACAUUUAUUUAUAUUUGAUAACCAUGAGAGAUAUAUUACUAUUUUAUUUUUGCAUCAAAUGAAUGUGGAGGCUGGGAUAUUAAUACUUUCUCCCAUUAAUACAGCUACAUCAUGGCAGUUAUCUCCCUGUGAUUGGAAGAGAGUUCUGCAUUUUGCAUACCAACUGCAACUAUGAUGUUUAUAACUGAGCUUGGAGAGAUAUUAUGCCAUUUCUGUGACCAUUCUCUUCUAUUAUGUCCAUUUCACAUAUUGAAAACAAAAUUUUCCCUUAAGUGACUAUUCUAUUGAAUUGAUAUUUUCCUUUUUCAGAUAAUACUGAUAUUUUUAACUUGCUUUACUUUCCCUUAACAUGAUUGGAAGUUGAAGACCAUGCCUAAAUUUUUCAAAUGUGCCUUCCUUUUAGUGCAUUACUUCUUCGGUGACCAAUUAGCGUUUUGACUAAUUGCUACUGAUCAAUUGUUCAUACAUGCCAAAGGACCAAUAACUUCAUGGUGCAGCCAAUUAAAUUGUUACUGAUUUCAUGCUAUCAACAUGCAAAAAGAUAGUCAGUUGACACCUAGCCACAAUCAAACAAUAACCUAGUAGUUUGAAAUGAUUAUCGCAAUUGCCAUGCUUUGUGCAGAGAAGAUGACUCUUCGAGGUUAAGUAAGAUUCUACGAAUACAUGGCAAGUUUCACGAUGCAGGCAAUGAAUUAUUAAAAGCUGGUGGCAUAAUAGUGCACACGAAUACAUACUUGUAUGCGCAUUGCAAUAUUGGAAAAUGUACCAAAGUGCAGUCACUGCCUUCUUCCCACAAACAAACAGCACUCGAUAAACACAUAAAGUCAUUUGCUCAUGACUUGCCGGUGAGCCACUAAGGCUCCAAGGUGCCGGCACACCUUGUAUAAAGGUGGUUCACUCUAGAACCUGAUCAUAAGGUAGGCACACCUUGCACUCUCUCUUCUCUAGGUCUAUUCUAGCACUAAUCAUUUUGCUAAGCUUGUGCUAAACCUUUGAUGGAUUACAUAAACACUUUUGGGUGUCUUGGAUGUGUUCUUGAUGUGUCUUACUCUUCAAUGGACUCCUACACACUUCAACUUCAUCCAGCAACUCCAAAUGGUCAAGUGGAGAGGGUAUAAAUAGCCCAAGAGCUUAAAGAACCGUUGCUUGAAUGGGUAGUUAAAGUAUACCAUCGGAUGUUCCGAUGGUCUAUUUUUUGGUAGCAUCGGAACAUUCGGUGCAACUAGCCAUUGGCUCCCCUGCGUCCAACUUCUUCAAGAAUUCAUUCGACGCUCCAUCCGAUGCCCCCAUCGUAUCAUCCAGUGCUGAUAGUUUUCUGACCAAAAUCUCUCUGAAACUAGCCAUUGGCUCCCCUGCGCCCAACUAAAUAUGUUUCGUUCGAGGGUCACCUCCAUAGGGCAUCAGAACAUCUGGUGCUAUAGGUCAAUUUCUGCCUUUCCUGAGAAUUGAUCCGACGCUACUAAAUUUUCCAUCGUCGGAUCAUCCGGUGCUUCCUGGAACUCAAGUUGAUUUCCCCGUUGGACCAAUUGCUCCGAUACUUACUCCGAUGGGCCAUGGCUUGGUCACUUGAAUACCAUAGCUUGGAUACUUGAAUAUCAUGAUUUGGAUCUUGCCAUGGUUUGGUUUGCAUACUUGAAUACCAUGAUUUGAACCUUGCCCAUGGUUUGGUUUGCAUACUUGGGACCUAGAAAACCUACAAAGCAUAUACUUGACAAACUAUUAGUCCCAAUAAUUAUAUUGUCACUCAAUCACCAAAAUCACAAACUACGAACUAAUGGGGCCAUGUUCGCUACAAGGUGCAUGGUAGAGUGCUUGGAACUUGGGCGGUGAGGCCAGGCGGCGGUGGUGCCGCCGGCCGGGAGGUGGAGGAGGCCAGUUGGGCGGUGCUUGGGCGAGGGCUUGACGACGACAUGGUGGGGGAGGGAGGUGGCGGCGGCUGCGGCAGGGAGGUGGUUGCCGAGGGCAGGUAGGGUCUCGCCGAAGCCCGACACCGGCAGCUACCACGCCCUCGGUUGGGGUGGUGGUCCAUCUGGGCGGCGGCGGGGUGGCCUGGCUAUUGGGAAGAAAGGUGCUGAACUGAGGAAGAAGAUGAAGGAUUCCUCAGAAGAUGAAGGAUGUCCGUUCAAUGCUCAUCCAACGUCGCAGAAAUUCGUGUGUCAGAAAACGAUAGAAUACUCGGGUGGGCAGUAGGCACUCACUUCUAAAAAGCCAAAACAAUAUAUAAUUUGUAACGGAGGAAGUAUUAAAUAUGAAAAUUAUGAUUUACUCCCAAAAACUGAUGAAUUAACUGAAGGUGUAUAAACUCUUCAAUUCACAAAGUGCAUUUAAUCUGUAUUGAACACUUCUCUUAGUAAGUUUUCUCAGCAAUAACCUGAAGAUCUUUUUUACUUAUGGGUUUACCUAUGCACUCUUUUCCCUUAAUUGAAAAUCUGGUGAUAGUAAAACAUGUUAAAAAGUUAUCCAUUAAUUUAAUUUUUGUGAAAGGGCUGUCUUAGGAAAUAGCCAGUGGAAACAUCAGAUUAGAAAGAAACAGGUUAUGCUUCAUAAGGUGUCUUCCAUGUUUCAUAUCUCAUCUUUUUCAUGCAUUACUUAUAAUGUUUGGUGAAUUUUUAUUUGCUGACUUUUGUUUACUGAUCAUGUGCAAUAUGUAAAGAUCACGGUCAAUUGGUUCUAAAAAUCAUGUGGAGAUACACAUUCGGUUGGCAAAAACAGAGAACCACUGUUUAGUUUCAUGUUGUCAUUGAUGCAUAUCUCCAUAAGUAUUCAUGUGGAAGAGCAGACUGCCCCUGAAGGCUGAAGCUAAAAGUAUUCAUGUGGCUGGCCUGGCAAGAUAGACUGCAAACAGGGGUGGCUUUGAAGAGAGGACGAAAUUGAAUGGAAGGGAAUGUCAAUUGUGCAGCAUACAAAAAUUUGUCUGGAAAUGCUUCAGUGACGCCCUGUGGUGGGGAGGAGUCCCAGCAAGUAUGCUUCAUUUCUUUCCGCAGAAGUGGCGGGUGCUGCUGCUGGGGGAUGGUGAUGGCGCCUAGUGAAAGGCUGGAUGGAGGCCUUCAUGGAGAAGCUCAAGACCUCUUGUAGAAAACACCCAGGGGAAGCUGGAAAAAAAACAUUUCUUCACAAUUUCUAGUCUUUUGAGGUCCUUGCAAAGCUGUACUUUCAGUUCCUGCACCCUAGUUUCUUAAUUAACACAGUCGAGCUGGUAACCUGUUAUGGUCGGCAAAGUGUACCAACAUCGCAGGGCGAGCCGUGGCUAGACGAGGCCGUGGUAGGCGAGCGGCUUGCGGUGUGUCAGUUAGGAGAGUCUGAAGGUUUAGGAGUAUUGUUUCCUUUUAUUGUUAUCCCUUAAUGGUAGUUAAGAUUUGUUAGAAUCAGAUGGGUGUACAAGUAUUGAACUCUUUCAGUUAAUAGAAAUCAGCCAGAGAUUGAGUUAUCUCUCCCGCUCCCUGGUAACUCCCCUUGCGCACGCCUGUUCCCCGACGCCGGCCAUCCAGGACAGCGUUGCAACCUUGCCGCUGCCGGGAUCCCAAACCCCGGCCGCCCAUGCAGCACGACUACUUCCUUCGCAGCGCUAGCGGUUCCAACAAUCUAGUUUCAGUGAUGUCCAGUUCGAUGCCUGGAGCUCCGACUUCCGCCGCCACUGCAAUCACCACAACCGCCAGCUUACCCACCACCACCACCGCGCCAGUUUCCCUUCCUCCCUCCACGGCCGUGCCAAUUGCGGCCAUCGACACACUGACCACAGCCAUCUACGGUCUCCAGUGUCAGAUGGGCCAAUUCGCGACGCAGCUGGCCGAUGUCGAGGGGCGCGCGUCCCCGCACUCAGGCGGAUCGUCACAACUGCAGGCUUUGUCACCUUACGGCCUCCCCAGCUACGAAGGGCUACCUGCCGCGACAUCAACGGGAUCUGUCAUCGUCCACACGACGGCUCCCGGCCUGCCAAUCACCAUGAUCCCGUUUCCACACUCGCCAUCACCGAUUCCACAAGCUGUCUUUCCCCACCUACGACGGCAAAGAAGAUCCGCUGAGCUGGCUCAACAAGUGCACGCACUUUUUUCAGGCUCAGCGCAUCCGCGAGGCCGACAAGGUGUGGCUUGCCUCAUUCCACAUGACCGGCAUCACCCAACACUGGUACUACAUGCUGGAGCGCAACGUCAGCGACAUCAACGCCAUCUCUUGGCCGCGGUUCUCGUCGCUAUGCCAGCAACAUUUUGGGCCAGCUCUCGGCACAAACCACCUCACAGAACUAGCUCGCCUGCCAUUUCGCAGGUCGGUUGACGAGUACUAGGUGGCAUUCCAAGCCAAGAUGGUGCACGCAGGCUGCCUAUCACCGCAGCAGCAGGUCCAGCUCUUCACUGGGGCCUGACUACAUCCGUGUUGAUGUCGAACUGCAGGCUCCACAAGAUCUUCAGCACGCCAUGAUGUUGGCCUUCACCUAUAAACGUCGCGCGGCGGCAGAGCCGCGCCCUGCGUGCCCCCAGAGUCGACAGCAGCCAUAUCCGGGGGCGGCCGUCGCACCGUCCAUGAUGCCCACGGUGACACUGUCUCCGUCGACGCCACCUACGCCGUCUGCGACGGUCCCAGCCUGCACUGGCCGCUCCACCACGGCCAUUCCGUCACCUCACGCCGCAGGAGAUGGCAGAAUGGCGCCGGCCUCUGCUACAACUGCGAUGAGCAAUAGGUACGCGGUCACAAAUGCCCGCGCCUCUUCUACUUGGAGGUCUCAGACUUCGUGGAGGAUGACGCCGUGCCAGCUACGGAGGAAACCCCACAGAUAUCCCUCCAUGCGAUCACCGGCCUCCGCACUAAGGACACGAUGCAGCUACACGUUCAGCUGAGCGAUCAAGAGUUCACGGCCCUUCUUGACUCGGAAUCGACACAUAACUUCAUCAGCGCUUCCGCGGCGCAGCACGUGAAUCUUCGGUUCCACGACAGCUGCGGUGCCCAUGUUGUGGUGACCAACGGCGAUAGAGUGGUGUGUCGUGGUCUUGCCCGCGAUGUCUAUGCGGUACGGCAUUACAUAUACCCGCAGCUACAAAAGGAUGAAUUGGAGGCACAGUGCGAAUCUAUGCUCCGCCAGGGCGUCAUUCGACCCAUCACAUCUCCUUUCUCAGCUCCAGUGUUGCUCGUCAAGAAGCCAGACGGCUCCUGGCAUUUUUGUGUCGAUUACAGGACGUUAAAUACGUGGUUGACCACGGUAAAAGAUAAAUUUCCCAUACCUGUCGUGGAGGAGCUCCUAGAUGAUGCCAUUCGGCCUGUCCAUCGCGCCGUCAACUUUCCAAGUGCUGAUGAAUCUCGUGCUCAAGCCGUUCCUACACCGGUGUGUCCUCAUCUUCUUCGACGAUAUCCUCAUCUACAGCAUGUUGUGGAGUCAGCAUCUGCAACACCUUCGCGCCGUACUUGACGUGCUGCGCGCCAACCAGCUGCACCUCAAGAGAUCCAAAUGCCUGUUCGCCGCAUCGUCAGUUCAGUACCUGGGCCACGUCAUUUCAGCAGCUGGCAUUGCCAUGGAUGCAGCCAAGGUGGCGGCAGUGGAAUCAUGGCCACAGAAGCGCUCCGCCCGUGGCCUGCGUGGGUUUCUCAAAUUGGCCGGGUAUUACAGGCGCUUCAUCCAGAACUUCAGCACCAUUGCGGGACCCCUGACGACACUGCUCAAGAAACGGUGGACUGAGGCAGCCACCGAGGCUUUCACGGCCCUCAAAAAGGCCCUGUCCGUAGCCCUCGUCUUGCACCUGCCUGAUUUUGGAAGGGAAUUUAUUUGGGGUUCGGUGCCAUACUACAUCAGGUGAGGGCCUUUUGCCGCGCGACAUCUGAAGAUUGCCGCGUAUGAGCGCAAACUAAUUGGUCUUGUCAAAGGCAGUUCGCCACUGGAGACCCUAUCUCUGGAGCCGUUCGUUCGUCAUGCGCACCGACCAUUGUGCGCUCAAGUUCAUGUUGGAUCAGCACCUGUCCACCGUUCCGCAGCACUAGUGGAUCAGCAAAUUAUUUGGCUUUGAUUUCAGGGUGGAAUAUUGUUUGGGCAACCUCAACAGAGUCGCGGAUGCACUAUCACGCCGUACUGAGUUGGAACCGACCCUGGCGGGUCUGUCGGUGCCGUCCUUCCAGCUCUUCGAUGAGCUGCGCCGCGAGCUUCGCCCUACGGGAUCUUCGCGACGCCGUCACCGUAGGUGAUCGCGGGGAUGCUUGGUGCAUCACGGACGGACUGGUUCUCCGCGACGGCUGCGUGUUCGUGCUGAGUAUCUCGUCAACGCUCCACGACGUCCUCCAGCUUGCCCAUACGGCCGGCCAUGAAGGCGUACAGAAGACUUUUGACCGGCUGCAUGCCACUUUCUACGUCAAGCACGACCGGCAACUCGUUCGCGACUUUUUCCACUACUGCACAACCUGUCAGUGGAACAAGUCUGAAGCGCUGCACCCUGCCGGUCUUCUAGAGCCCCUGUUGGUGCCAUCCCGUGUGUGGGCCGACAUCUCUAUGGACUUUGUCGAGGCACUCCCCAAGGUACACAGCAAGAGCGUCAUUCUAACAGUGGUUGACAGGUUCUCUAAAUACGCCCAUUUCAUACCACUGGGCCACCUGUACACGGCAUCCUCCGUCGCGCGCGCCUUCUUCAACGACAUCGUUCGCCUGCACGGCUUCCCCGACUCCAUCGUCAGCGAUCGUGACCCUGUGUUCACGGGACAUGUCUGGCGCGAUCUGUUUCAGCUGGCUGGUGUCCGGCUGCGCCUGAGCACGGCGUUUCAUCCUCAACCGAAGGCUAGUCUGAAGCAACGAACAAGACCAUCGCAAUGUACCUCUGCUGCAUCACUGGUGAUCGGCCGCAAGAUUGGCUGACCUGGCUUCCGUGGGUUGAGUAUUGUUAUAAUACUUCAUUCCACUCAGUGCUAUGGACAUCGCCAUUCCACGUCGUCUAUGGUCGCCAGCCGCCGACCUUGCUGUCCUAUGACAAGGAAGUGCCCGCACCAACACCGUCGAUAACAUGCUGUCCAGCUGCGAUGAGUUGUAUAAUCUUUUAUUCGGCCAACCAAAUAGAACAACAUAACAACGGAUAUUAUUUUCAGUUUUAGAAUAUCGAAUUUGAAGGGAAUUUUGCUAGCCUCUUGAAAAACUGGUGCAAGAUUAUGCUAGGGAAUCGCUGAGUCCUUCUAAGGCCCUGUUUGGCACAGCCCCACUUCAGAACUCUAGCAACUCCAGCAAAAAAAUCUAGCCAACCAUCUCAGCUCGAAAACUUCAUGGAGCUGCCAACUCCAUGGAGCGGUAGUGCAAAUAGGGAUGGAGUUUUAGAGCACCUCUUUUGCUGCUCCAAAACCUCCUAUUUUGAACCUCCUCGUGGAGUUGGUAGAUAAUUACCCACCAAGGCCACUCGUUAAAAAAAAUGCUUCAUUCUUUUUUCCUUUCGAGACUCCCGACGCCCCCAUCUCUCCUUUCCACGCGCUCCUCUGCUCUCGAGAACCGUUGCUGGCUAGGCUUAGCGCCGCCGGGAAUCAAAUCCCCACCGCCAGCCGCCCGUUCCCCUCCUGAGCGCCAAGCCCCACCGGCCUCUUAGCCCCUCCCAGCUCCCGCCGCCACCCACACACCUACCGUCCGCCGGGAAAACGAAGCUCCGCCGCCAGGAAUCAAAUCCCCGCCGUUGGCCGCCUGUUCCCCUCACGAGCCUCCUCCUUGGUGCAGUGGCGCGGCAAGGUUGCCAAAGCUGGCUCCAGGGACGCACCAAUGCCAAAGCCAGUGGAUCUGAGACCGUGCAAGGCUUGCGGCACCAAAUCAUGGGGGCGCAGUCCAUGACUUAGGCCACCAGCGCGGGACUACUGCCCCGAUGUGGGGCUGGGGCCACCUAGGUGUGGGGCAGCAAGCAUGGGUUCCGCGGCCGCCUGUCCUUCCCACAGCUGCGCCGCGCGAGGCCAAUGCCGCAGGGUCAUCAGUCGCCGGUCACCGGUACAGUGGUGCAGCGUGGCACCCGCGUGAUGGCCGAUGGCCUGGGCGCAGAACCCGUCGCGGUACGCCAUCCAUGCAGCGCUCCUUGGUGUCCUCGCCCCGAGCAGCAGGCCGCGUGCGCACCGGACGGUGCUGCUCCUCGCCACGAGGAGGUCAGCCAAGGCUCACCACUGGUCGUAUGUGGCGCGGGGUAGCCGAGCGGUUCUUCAAAGAUUCUUUGGCCUUCUUGUUUCUGCAUUCUUGGAACUAGUCGUGGAUGGUGAAUGUUGUCUGAUCGAUGAGAUCAGCUCUGAGGGCUGAGUUCUGUCAGGUUUGAGUUACCGAACAGCUCUCUAUGCUUGCCUAUUUGUUUAUUCACAUAUUUUCCAUUAGUUGAUGAUUUUUGUUUCUACUGUUGACCUCAAACACAAUCAGUUCAUUUUGGUGUGAAUUCGAUUAAUCUGUGCUAAUGCUAACUGAUGUUGGUUGCUUGUGAACUGUGAACGGUGACUUGGGCGUUGCAAUCAAUGUGAUAGUGUUAAGUUUUCAGAGUUGCACUGCGUUCAGAGUUGCUCAUGCACAUUGCAUUGCCGUUACUAAUUCUUCAGAAUGUUUUGAAGAUUUUGCAAGCCGAACCGUUUCAUUUCUCCGGUUCAGUUUUGGAGCAAGUCCAUAUAAUGCAGCGAUGCAACACUUGACGACUUGCGCUUCUCAUUUAGUAUUUCAGUACCAGUGUUGGGAGUUGUUAAUUCACACUGCACUGCUGUCUUGCCGACCACCUAAAGAUUUUGCAAAAAGCUGUUCACCCGAGGAAGAAGAAGAAAAGGGGAAUAAGAGGAUGAUAGGUGGGAUCAUGAGUUGGGGGCAAGAAUGACAAUUCACUUUCAAACUCCUCUUUUCUGGAGUUGGGGACACCCUCCCAGCCAAACACCUCCAUCAGACCGCUCCAACUCCAUCUAGAGUUGGCUCCACCUGGAGUUUUGGAGUGGAGCAGCUUCACACAGAGUUGGAGUCAUGCCAAACAGGGUCUAAGUUUCAGUUUUGAUGGGGGCAUUGGGCUGACCAGGUUUUGAUGGGCCAACAGCCGCCCCACACCACGGAGGUGUGGUUCGUGUGGAGGCCCAGUUCAAUUGUUUUACCUUGCUUUCCACUUAAAAUAUUCUUUUUCCAACAAUUUUAGACUUUCCGACACCAUUUUAGGGGUGAUGGAGUUGUUGGCACGGUGCACGGCACUCACAUGGUUCGUUUAACUUUAAAUCUUGGUACCAUAUUUAGUUGGGAUGAUUCGACCUGAGCAUUUUGCGAGCCACGUCGGGCUCAGACCGAGUGCCGAAAAAAGCUCCGCUCAUGGCAAGCUGAAACAUUGUGCUUAUGAAAUUGCUGGCGGUUGGUUACUGUGCUGGCGGUUGGUUAGGUCGACCACCAUCACAGUGAGCAGCACAGUGCUCACUGUGAUGGCAGUUGGUUACCUUGUCCGCUAGCAUAGUGAACCACUAUGCUGGCGGUUGGUUAGGUAGCCCGCCAGCACAGUGGUGUCUACGUUGGCGGGUGCAUCCAUUUGUGCUGGCUCCAAGUUAGUGAUGCCCGCUCCACCCGCUAGCGUAGUGGUGUUUUACCCGCCACUACAAAUCGAUUCUAACAAAGUGUUAUCAGACUGAGUUUUUAGGUUGGGCUCGGGCUGACCUGAUUUUUUUCGAACUUUAGUUUUUCUGACCACGCUUGGCCCGACAUCUAAACUGGGCGGGCCGAAACCUACCGAGCUCGGUCUGUGCUCGAAAUGCUUAGGGGAAGAUACAAUAAUUUACCGGAUUGUCUCCACUAACAAGAUCUGCAACGAUUCUGAGAGCAACCUGGAGAAUGCCUUGCAGAAGCUUAAGAGAGAACUCGCUCGAAAGAGGUACUUUUAGAAUUUAAUUUGACGUUGAUUCACUCAUCUCAAGCACGCACACUGUUUUUUUUUUCUCACACACGCUCAAAAUAGGUGCAUUGCUGAGAAUAACACGUAAUUGAAAAGGACAAGUAAAGCACAUGCAAACUACAUACACAAAAUUCAACUUCAAACUUGGAUCCGCAUACACUUUUAAUUGCUAGUACUAGUGAACUUCGUACACUUGAAGAAACUAUGAAAAAUGUACACACACAUCAUGUCAAGUCGAAGAAACUAUGAAAAAUGUACACACAUCAUGUCAAGUCGUAAACACAGAGAGCAAUAUCCAACAUUUUUUUUAAUUAAGAAAAAACAUCCGAUCUUGAACAUUCACAUGUGAAUGUCUAUGACCACAAAGUAACACAUCCACCCACAUAGCCAGAAGCUAACACGAGUACUUAGACUACAAAACUCCAACCAAGGAACACAAAAGACAAGAAAUAAAGCAAAUAAGAAAGAAAGCUUCAAACUUCUUCUACGUCCUUCCUUCAACCUUGCUUUGGUCCUUAUGCAGCAACAAACGUCUCACAUCAGCUGUCUUCUUAGAAACUUUUGAUGUAAGGAUCGUCGAUGGUCAUGUGCUACUUGGUAAUCCUUGUCAUCUAGAAACUGCAAUGAGUCAAUCUCUACCACGCAAACAGAUUGGGCAUUGCCAUUGCUCCAAGCUAACCAUGGUGUCGUCAUCAAGGACUCCAAGACGACACCUCAAGAGGAGAGCAACAUCUCAAUGCUACUGUCGGGACUACUCCCUGGACCCACGAGUAGGCCUUGGACGACCCACUAUGGGACGUACUCGGACGUGAUCAGAACAAGGAUGGGUGUAUCCUACUCGGACUAGUCUUGUAUGUUUAUGGAAAACUACUCGGGACGAUACCGAGUAGAACUCUGUAAUAGUACCCGACUAGGACUCAGACUUGUAACCCUGCCCUCCUAGGUAUAUAAGGCCGGGUAGGGACCCCCCUCAAAACAGAUCCCUCAGGACCAGAACAUACAUCAAUACAAACCAACAUACAGGACGUAGGGUAUUACGCGAUCUAGCAGUCCGAACCUGUCUAAAUCGAGUUCCCUUUGCCACCAUUGAUUCCUUGAUUCUCGACGACCCUUACGGCACAAAAGACCACCUAGGGUACCCCUAGGCAGGUGUCCGGUCUAGAACACCGACAGCUGGCGCGCCAGGUAGGGGCGCUCGUCGAGUUUCUCAGCGAGAACUCAAUGGCAAAAGUCAUCAUCAGGCCCAUUUUCUUCAUCGAAGCCGGCGCCACCUUCGUUUUCGGAUCCUGGCUCUGCGUCGCCGAAGGCUCGGGAUCGUUCCGGCGCCAGAUCGCCGACUCUUAGGAGAAGAAACCAGAAGAAGUAACCAGAAAAAAAUCAAGAUUUCAAAGUCAACAAGCUCAAGUUCGACUACGCGUCGGACUCGACUUCGCCUCGUACUACCCCAACGUCUCGCUCAAGGGUUGGGCUCCGCCGACCCCAGCCCCUGGAGUUGGGCGAGGCGAAGCUACCCUCCCACAGGGUCAGGCUCUCCCGACCCCAGGACUUGGGGUCGGGCGAGGCGGAGUUCCACUCAGGGUCGGGCAAGGCGGAGCUACUCCCUCACAGGGUCGGGCUCAGCCAACCCCUGGACUCAGGGUCGGACUCGCUUCAGAUUCGGCGACCCCAGUCAGCAUCCAAAUCAGUUUUGACUUCAAAGCGGUUCCCGCACGGACUUCGCAACGCGACAAAAGUCUAUCAAGAUUUUCUUGCUCGAACCCGAGUCGAACUCAGGUAUGAUGAGGACGUUGACUCUGACUCAUCUUACUCUCCAGAAAUACCAUUAUCCGGUCCAGCCCAAGGGUUGGUAAUAACUUCAACACCACAAGGCAGAUUGGUCCAUUGGCCGGGAUUGUGACCAUCUUUUCUCAACCGCGACUACGACUCGCGCCUCGUCGCCCAUAUAGACAACCUGCCGUACCAAGAAGGCAUUCCACUUACAUCCAACCACGAAGGAAGCUAUACAAAGCUUGCUACAUCAAGUUCACGAAGCUACUACCCGGACAGGGAGAUACUUGUUAUUACUCAGAAUAACAAUUCGGGUACUAGCCAGAACAGAACCCCCAGGCGACUAGCACAAAUCGACAACUUCUCUGAAGAUGAAUCCACAGCCAACAAUGAAACUCCCGAACAACGCAACCAACGAAGGGCGCGCAAUACCUCUCGAGCUGAGCGCCGACAAUCGAUGGCUACAAAUAUCCCUAUUACAAAUCUUGAACGGGCUUUCAACGCAGUCCAAGCUCAGGAGCACAAUACUCCACUCGCGGCUAUCGCUUCAAUCAACCUUUCGCCGACACUGAUGCCUCAAGACAAGGAUAACGCAGCCACAGCUCAACUCUUGCAGCGUGGCAAUGGACUAAUCGCACAACUCACGGAGCAAGCUUAUAAGCUGCUUGACAAAGAAUCACCAAUCCCAUCUGUUCCUCGCAUAACAGACGGAAGCAGAAGGGCUGCAGAUAAAAAUGUCGCCCCGCGAAACGAUAAUGUAGCCAACCAGCCCCGGCAACAUAGCCAAGGUCCAAGCAAGCAUAAAACUCCUACUCAACAGGAUGUAGGUGAAGCCAGCUGCACCAACUCGGUUAAAAGUGUUCGCCCUACUCGGAAGAACCGCGAGAUGUCCAACAUCAGCGAUCUACGAGAAAUCCUCAACAGUCGGCGUGAACGGGAAGUCGACAGCUACAAUCACUUUCCUGCUUUCACAAACCGGGUAAUGAAAACAAAAUUACCUGAAAAGUUCAAACCGACCGGCAUUACCAAGUACGAUGGCAAGCAAGAUCCAAUUCGAUGGCUACGCUGUUACUCGCUAGCCGUCCAAGCCGCCGGAGGCAACAACGACACCAAAGUCAUUCAUUUUCCCAUAUGCAUGGAACCCGCACCACUGACCUGGCUCGAGUCACUUAAACCCAAGUCCAUCGACUCCUGGGCAGACUUGACAAAGGCUUUCACCAACAACUUCGCCGGCUCCAUGGCUAGACCAGGCAACAAGAUUGACUUACAACAAAUUAAGCAGAGAGAGGGCGAAACCCUGCGCGACUAUCUACGACGGUUCUUCGAAAAGAAGGCUACCAUAGUAGACAUCUCCGAAGCAGAUGUCAUUGAAUGUUUCCAAAACGGACUCUACGAUCGACGAACAUACCAAGACUUCGGUCGCUGACGGCCGGCCGAUGUCAAAGAACUCAAGCUCAUGGUGCAACAGUGGGCCGAUGAAGAAGACAAAGAACGUGAACGGUUCGGUUCCCACCGUAACUGCGGACGCAACAACACCCACAACAAUGACACAGAUAAACCUCGUCAUAACGAUGCUCGGAAUUCCUAUCCGGGUAAUCAUAAUCGCAAAAGGAAGCCCGACAACACUGUUGCUGCCAUGACCAGCUCCGGGAAAAAGGGACAGCGCAGAAACAACGACGGACCAACCUUCACGGAGCUACUCAAAAAGCAGUGCCCAUGGCACCCGACCAGCAAGCACUCCGCAUUGGACUGUUACAGCAUACGCCGAGUUAUGCAAGAUUUACUAGCACCACCAACUCUCGAAGAGUACGCCAAAAACAGAGACAAGGGUAAAAGCAGAGCCCGCAAAGACGAAGAUGAAGACGGCGAUUUCCAACCAGCCUCAAAAACCGUCAAAGUCAUUUUUGGUGGCAUCCCUAGCACAGCAUCCAAGCGAGCAAAUAAACUCGUACUCAGGAAGAUCAUGGCCAUCAAGCCGACGGACCCCACACCGCUAAAGUGGUCAGAAGUUCCAAUUUCUUUCAGCAGAAAGGAUCAAUGGACAAAAUUUUCAGAACCCGGCCGUUUUCCACUAGUCUUGGACCCAGUCGUGGCAGGUUCAAAGUUAACCAAAGUACUCAUCGAUGGCGGGAGCGGUCUCAACGUCAUCUUCGCCAAAACAUUAAGGAAAAUGUGCCUCGACGUCACGGACAUGCUUACUCAUAGUGCCCAUAGUGCCGCCCGAACUAACAAGUCGGUUCGCUAGUUUUCACCUAGAUCUGUUCCUGUAUGUUGAGGUUCUCAUAGCAAAUAUAUAUAUAUCUGUGUGUGUGUGUGUGUGUGUGUGUGUGUGUGUGUGUGUGUGUGUGUGUGUGUGUGUGUGUGUGUGUGUGUGUCAUGUUCAAGUUUUCUAACAUGAGAAAAAUUUAAGAAUGUUUAACUUCCCCACUUAGUGCCUACUUGGAAUAAGAAACAUUAAGAUGGCCCAAGGGAAUUUUAGGAUCAUUUGAUCAAAAAUUUUAGGUGCAGAGAUCUUCAAAAGGUCAGCAGGAAGAAAAACAUUUCAUCUUUUUCUGCUCCCUCGACUUACACUAAGGAGCUGCAAAAGCUAACGACGCCUCUUGUUUCGAGGCCCCAGCAUUGAAAUUAAGAAGACAACAAUGCCUCACCGCUAGCAAGCUGCCCUCUUGGAUAUGCACGGAAGAACUUGCACAUCUCACAUACCAUUUACGCUUCCUCUUGUGGCAUUCACAUAACUUAAGAAAAAAACGUACUCAAAUAGAAACGCACUAAUAGCAUGAUUAUUUGUAACAGGUACCUUCUUGUAUUGGACGACGUCUGGAAUAAGGAUGCUAACAAGCUGAAUGCCUGUCUUAAACAUGGUGAUGUUGGUAGCGCCAUACUAACGACAACCCGUGAUAAAGAAAUAGCUCAACUCAUGGGUACAGUUGAAGAACAUGGCAUUGCACGUUUGGACAAGAAAUUCAUCAAGAAAAUUAUUGAGGCUAAAGCAUUCAUUUCGCAAGAGAGAAAACCAACUGAUUUAGCCGGCUUGGUUGAUGACGUUGUUGAGAGAUGUGCCGGGUCUCCAUUGGCAGCGAAGGCACUAGGAUCUGUACUACAUGGCAAGACAAGCACGGAAGAAUGGAAGGCUGUGCUUAGCAAAAGCAUCGCCCAUAACAAGGACGAUAAAAUCCUGCCUAUUCUCAAGCUCAGUUACGAUGACCUGCCAUCACACAUGAAGCAGUGCUUUGCUUUUUGUGCUGUGUUUCCCAAGGACCAUGAGAUUAACGUGGAAAUGCUGAACCAACUAUGGAUGGCAAAUGACUUUAUUCCUGAACAAAAAGAUGUUCGUCAUGAAACAAUUGGUAAACAGAUUUUCAGUGAGCUGGUCUCAAGGUCAUUCUUUCAAGAUGUGAAGCAAGUCAAUGGGAAAGCAUGGGAAGAUGUGUAUUGGUAUUUCUCUACAAGUACAUGUAAAAUCCAUGAUCUUAUGCACGAUGUGGCACUAUCUGUCAUGGACAAAGAGUUGCUACCAUAACUGAGAAACCAAAGCAGAGUGAUGAGUUGCUUGAGAACACUUGUCGUCAUAUAUUGUUAUCAUGUCGCAAUCCAGAGGCCGUUUUGAAUGAUUCUCUGAAUAUAAAAGCAUGUUCGCUUCAGCUUAUAAGCCGACUAUCAACAAAGCAAAGCAAGCAAGCAGCGACGCUUCCAGAUGACAUGAUGGCCGCGAAAGAGACGUGAUGCUAAGCUAGAGUACUCUGCACGAGAAGCUUCCAUGUCCAGAAGCAAGGUAUACCCCUGCAAGCUGCUCGACAGAGUAAUCUGAUGUGCAGUCAAACAAUAGCUGCUUCAGCAAUGGUUGCCCACAAGAACAGGGGCAAAGAAAAGCAAUAGCUUACAGCAAGAAGAAAAGCUAACUGGCUGUGUGAACACAUCAACCCUUUACAACAGGAAACCAAGUCCUAAACACACAGAAAUUAAUAAUCUGGCAUGGAGCUAGCAGGCUCCUCAAAAGCGGACCGACUUUUUAUUGAAAGUGCUAGUUCACUGCUUAGGAACAAACGCACGCAGCAUCAUUAAUAGGGUAAAAAUACAAAAAACCACACACACACACCCUUGGCUCAUACAAAUGCAGCAACAGUCCACAGUACUCCCUCGUUUAUAUCCCCUUUAUUGACAUCCUCAGCUCUCAACAGGUGACUAUCUGAGCAGCUCUCGUCUUCCCAGGUGCGCCUGAAUGUCAUCAAACCAGAUGCUACAGUUCCUGGCUACAACCGUUUACAAUGUUCGAAUUUCCAGUCCGUAACCAGUGGGGCAAAUGUUCCAUGCAAUCGAAAUAACAUGAUGAGAAAUGAAGUACAAAUGGCACAGAGAGUCAUCAAGGGCUUUCUGGCAAAGGUUUUUCUUCAGACAUCCUUCCCCAGAGGCCCAGAUCACAUCAGGCAAACAACCCAACCAUCGCUCAUAAUUGCUUCACAGCAUGGGAACCACGGGGAUCGCCAUGAGAAUUCCACUGAAGAAGCAUCCAUACGAUUGACGUUCCUAUGUAAACAAACAUGAAGUAUUGAUCAGACUAGCUAAACAAAUGAUCAAGAUGGAAAUGGAACAUUAUUACAAGUACUCCAUCACGGUUUCAGAUUUAAUUGCCACCUAUUCUAGUCAUCUGUCAAGCUACAUAUGCAGCAAGCACAACAAGCUCCCCGGGCCAUUUUGCAAGAUGGAACUAAUAAAUGCCACGCUGCAUUGUUUUUAAAUGCAAAAAAAAACAAUAUUGAUGAAAUCCUGAUAAAGUUUAAACUACAAGACUGCAUAGGAAAACAAUAUAGCUCCAAAUGCUAAAUGAAAUGAAUAUUUGGAGAAAAGCACCAGAUAAUCAAACCUAACUGUAAUGAGUGCGGCAGUAAAAGCUGAUUAGGUUCUAAAGGACUAAUUUUUCAAAUGCGAAAUGAAAAGAACGGUCCAGUCACAAGGCAAGCUUAGUACCUGCAAAGAAGCCAACCGUGCUCAGAUUUGCUGCAGCCAUGGUCUGGUAUAUCAGGUAUUCCGUGAGGAAAUGGCCAAGAGCGUAGAUGAAUGAUAGGAAGGUGGCCAGAUAUAGAGGCCUAUUUUCCAGAUUGAGUGCACAAAGGAAGCACAACGUGCAGGUCAGAAGUGUCCAGACACCGAAAGUACGGCCGUGUACAUCAGUCACUACAUGUAACAGAACAAUGUUAAUCAGACUAUAGAAGAUUCGUCUUGAGCAUGUCUUUGUAAGGAAUGACAGUACAUAAACAGGAACGAGUUAGUAUGAAGCUGCCUUUGAGAUGCUGCAAAAGCCAUUGUGAACUAAAGCUUAUAAGUGCCUACAGGCUACAGAAAACUGAAAAGACAAUCCAGCUGAGAUAUCACAACUUCCCAAGCAAUCGAUCCAGAAGGAAGAAUUAUUGGCAAAGAUAAGCAAAGUUCCACAAAGAAGGGAGAAAGUAUUGAUAGUGUCCAUGUGCAAUGUAAAGUUCCAGAUCCAAGCUUUUUUACCCAGGUAAGCUAGUAUUGAUAGUGUUCAUGUGCAGUGUGCAGUUCCAUAUCCAAGCUUCUUUACCAGAGUAAGCUACACGGGCAGUCAACAUCAGUAGAUGGCUUCUUGGUAUGGCCAUAUAACAGUACCCCAUAGUAGGAGCUUCAAGGGUAACUAAGAACUACCAAGAUCAAUACACUACUUAUGAACUUAUAAUAGUAAGGCAUGCAUAGUGCUCUUCUAAAAUGGGGGUGUCAGCAUAAAGAUUGCAGGGCUCUACAUCAGAACAAUAAAGGGCCGUUGCUGGCAUUUACAACUUUAAUAUCAACCUGAAUCCAGUAAACAGUCAUGAACUAACAAACAUCCAUGCAACAAAAAUACAUGGAUAGAGUAAGAUUAUUUGUUUCUCUUAGAAAAAAUAAUGGCCGCUGAUCCUCCGAUAAUACCAAAGCCUCUGUAAGAAAAAAACAAACUAAGGAUCUGACCCUCAGAAAUUUCUGACCUAUCCUCAACCAAGAAUGAGCUGCGUGCCUGCGUCACUAAGUCCUCUCAUUAGACUACUCCCAACUAUCCCAAUUGCAGACUUGAAAUACUUCCUUACUACAACAGUAUGAGACUUGUCCGGAAUGAGUCUCACUAACUGAAAAAAAAAAUCUUCUUUAACCUUGACUAAUUCAUAUAGUGAAAACUAAAAAGAUAACAUGUACCAGACGUGCUGACCAAUAACAACUGAAGUCCUUUAAUUUGUUACCAAUCCUAUAAAUCUAUGACCACAGAUGCACAAAGACCAUCCACUUACUCGGCAUGCCAAAUUCGAGCCAGCAAGUUCUGAUUCAGAAUUUCAGAUACCGUUGUUGUGCCGCUAAACGGCGCACCCGGCCAAUACCAACAAGAAAACAGACAGUGUCGUCGAGUUCAAGCUCGAACUGAUCACAGUGGUUUCCUUCUCCUUCUGCCUCCAAAUCACCAUUAAGAAGACGCGGUACAGAUCAGGCUAGCACGCCAUCAGAUCUACCAACACAAUUACACAAAUACCCCACACGAUGGGCUUCCCAACCCAGCGAGACGCAGACGGGAGAGUAGCGGAAGAGGGAGCAACGGACGGGCAACUCACUCUCCGUCUGGGAGAAGACGGCGACGCGCAGCGCCCAGAUGUUGAAGAAACCGAACCAGACGGAUGCGAGGCGGAGGGAGCCGACGAGCAUCAGCCACCAGCCCAGCGCCGGCAUGCCCUUCUUCUUCCCCUCCGACGCCAUGUCCCCCGCGGCAAUGCUUCCACCGGUGAGCAGCGGCCAGCCGGCGAAGCUCUCGCGCAGGGAGAGGCGAAGCGGGUGGGAGGCUGCGGCAGAGGGAGAUGACGACGACAACCAGGCCGGGCCCUUUUGGAUGUUUAGAUGGGCCGCCGGAUGCCCGGAUGAGUUGGCCUGUUUUUUUGUCCUCAUGCUGCAUUAUGGGCCAGCAGAUCCGCUACAAAAGCCGUCCUCUAACAAUCAUGUGAGCCCACAACGUCCUUACAUUAGUAAAUGCUGUUAUUAUAAUACUUUUUUUUGUUGCCAGGGAUUUUAAUAGAUUAUUAUAAUAGUCUGCCACAGCUAAAACCCAAAUGCAUUAGAAAAGGUUUUCAGAUUGGUCGUAUAAACUGAAAAUGCUAUAGUUUUAAUAACAUAUGCAUAAUUGUUUUUGUAGGAUGCAACAAAACAGUUUACGAAAACCAAUCUGGUGCUCUUUUGACCCUCAAUACAUCACGAGGAUGUUAAGGCUACGUGACGCCAACACAUGACACAAUUUUUUCCUUGACAAGUUGUUGUAUUCGCAGCUCAUCAUAUGAUUCUCACCUUGAAACAAUAAACAAUGGUAAUAGGUUUUCUGAAAGAAAAUACUGCCAACAGUAUAUGCCUCGGGUGCAUUAAAUUUUCUUUUCUUAAAAAAAUGAAGAAUACCGUGGGAUUUUUCCUUACAAUGUACAAGGAGUGCGCCAACGUGCCUUAAUAAUAAUUGAUUACUAAACUUGGCAAACUUAAUGAAAACAACAGCUACUAGUAGACUACAUGGUCUGAUGAGUCACCGAAGCUUUUGGCAGUAGCAGGUCACGGGAGAAAUUAGACUGUUAUAAAUUGUUAACAAUGUAAGCUAUUUUGGAGCUUUUGUGGCGGUACCACAAGACUCUCAGCAAGUUGAAGCAUUAUGGUCGAGAGACGACUCUUAGCCUGUUCGCUUCAGCUUAUCAGCCGGCUUAUCAACUAUCGAACAGUAUUUUUCUCUCAUAAUAAAUUAGCCGUUUCAACUUUUCAGUCGGGAUAUAAGUUCAGCCGGACGGACCCUCUCACCGUGCAUCGGGGUCGUGGGGGGCGGUGUCUGAGAUGAUUCUCAGGUAAUCCACCCAUUUCCCAGACGACCAAAGAUGCUGGGGCGCAGAGCAGAGCCGAUGACUGGCGACUGUUGAUGAGUUUACUACGCACGUCAAGCAUGCAUGGACUGGACCGCAUCUGGACAUCGUCCAGGCACCUGAUCUGACCUGACCUGACCUGAGCAUCUGACUGACUUGACCAGCCAGCCAGCAGCCUACUGUACUCUACUGUGUUUGUCUGCAUUGCUAGGAUUAGACAGCACGACAAGGUACCCUGUCCUGCUAGAUACGCCAACCCUGCUGCAGCUGCAAUGGCAAUGCAAUCGCUGGUGACCCUGACGACGCAUCCAUCCAUCGAACCAAGCUUUUUGUUUGCCAGCCAAUUCUAACGGGCGGUCGAUCUGAUUCUGGUGGCUGGUGUGGAUCAUCUGCUUGUCUCUCUCUGGCUGGCCUGGCCUCUCCCUCACCUCCAUGGCUCCAUCUGCGGCGGCAGCAGUGUACAUGCAAUGUUCAGUUUGAUCAGAGAUACAUUGCAAAUUGCAAUGGCAGGCGGCCGGGCACAUUUCAUUUCUACAGAUGUCGAUCAUCAGCACACCACCACCGUAGUUUGUUUGCGAGCAUUCUAGAAUAUAACAUUAGAACCAGGAAAGAUAGCAAAACUACCGGUGAACCGGCAGCACAACCAUGUAAGAGUUGGUAUGGAACGGGCAAGCGGCACAAGCCAAUACGGCUGCCUUGCCUUCGUUAGUCAAUCCAAAGUCUACAAGUUCAUAUAGAACAGCCGGGUACAAACUGAGUAGGAGCAGAUAUGGCCCCCAACCUCGCCCCCCCUCCGCCGCCCCGCCCCACGCCGGCGACGGCCGAACCCCGCCCGACCCUGCGCCUCCGCCGCGAACCCCCACCCCCAUGCCGACAAGCCCCCCGGGAGCCGUGCCCCCCACCACCAGCCUCCCCGCGCGCCCGCUCGUCCUGGGAGAAGUUCUUCUCCCCGUCCCCACCUCCGCCCCCCCCCCCCCCCGCCAUGGCAGACCGGCGCCCGUCGAUGACGAGUGGGUACCGGAAUCGCCGGAUCUGCGCAUCUCCCCACCGGAUCUUCGACCCCCGACGACGGAUCUACUGCCAGAGAGCCAACCUGGCAGGAAGCUGUCCUACGCGGAGGCGGUCAGGGGGGGGCUUUCAAUUCCCCCUCUACUCCGCCCGCCCGGCGCAACAUUGAAGGCCUCCUUGCCCCUGCCAGAGGUAGGGGCAGUAACUCCGGCGACGCGACGGCUCUACGGCGCAUUCAACUCUCCACGACGUCAGCAGCUCACCGGACCAAGCGCGGCACGACACCGAGGAUCCAGCCGCGUCAUCCGUCUCAGGAGUGGCAGCCGGUGACGCGCCGCAGGGCGCGGCAGCGCGCGCCGCCCGAGCUGCCGCGACGGGAUGGCGGAGGUGACCGCCACUACAGGACCUCUUCAAGGAAGCCACCCACUGCUGCUCUCCUCAGCUUCAACCGCGCGACCGAGGGGCGCUGCUUCAUCUGCCUCGCGCCUGACCACCGGGCCGCAUUCUGCCGCGACCCGGUGCGUUGCUUCCGCUGCCGGCGCUCCGGCCACAAGGAGCGGGACUGCAAGGCAAGGACCGCUGCAUCCGCCGCAACCCGCCACAAAGCCUCCACCAGCCACCGCCCCGCUCCCGCUGCGCCUCGCCCAACCUCCACGCCCCGCCCGCGCAACGCCCCAGCCACCCAAAGCGCCGCGCAUCCCACCCUCCUCGGCUGCUCCUCUCCCGCCGUCAAGCCACAAGAACUCCAACGCGAUGGCCAUUGGUGACCCCCACACGCGCCCGGAGGUCGAGACGAUCUUCGUCUCCGACUCCUUCCACCUCGUGCACAACGCGCGGGAUUGGGAGGCCUGCGCCCUCGUCCCAUGGGCGCUGCACCUGCCGCCAGGUGCCGGAGCCCGGGACAUUGCGGGGCUGAUCAGCAGGGAGCUCCACCUGCGCCACGGCGAGGUCAACGUCACCCUCCACCAGCCGGAGCCGUACCUCAUCCGCUUCGUCAGCGAGACCCAGGCGGCGGAGGCAUGGCGACGCGGACGCUUCACUGGUGGGGGCAUCGACAUCUGCCUCCGGCCAUGGCGCAGCCUCACCCACGCCCUCGGCUUCCGCAUUUUCUACAGAGUACGACUCUGCCUCGAUGGCAUCCCGAGCCAUGCUUGGACGCCGGAGAUCGUCGAGCGCGUCAUCGGCCACAAGUGCGCGCUACAGCACAUCGUCACCGACCUCGUCCAGCCGGCGGACUCACGCCACAUCGAGCUCUGGGCAUGGACAGUUGACCCGAGCGAGAUCCCGAAGAAGGUAUGGCUCGCCUUCGUCCACAGUCCGGCGACCAAAUCCUCUGCUUUCUCUGUUUCGGCCGAACCUCCCCCCACUUCUUGGCAGCAAGGCGCACGCUAUGAAGUCUUCAUCCACAUGCCCCUCCUGGAAGAUUACACGGCGGCGGCGCGCAAUCUGGAGCACGCCGUCAACAACCCAGAGAACAUCACCCCAAUUCGUCGCCGGUAUGAAUGGCGCUAUGGGCUGGUGGAUGGCGUCCCACCGGACGCGCGAUCUCAUUUCCCGGCUCGGCUGCCGCGACCGCCGCGGGAGCCUGAGCCACGGGACCUCGACGACCGCGGAGACAGAAGGACGACUGACCAUCGCCGUGGAAGAACUGGUUCCUCCGGUGCCGCUGGCGACGGACGCGGAGCCCCCGGCGACGGCGACGCGGCUGUCGGUGGCCACGGGCGGGAACGACAACCUCACCAAGUCGACAGGAACCGCACCAAGCACCGGGCGGACCAGUCGACCUGCAAAAGGGGCUUCAUCUGGCCACCACGGCGCGGGGACGACGACGACGACGAGCACCAUGACUACAACCACCCGGGUCAUGGGCGCAAGUUUGGUGACGCCUAUUGGGGCUGCGCGGCCACGGGACGCCGUGACCGCACCAGGUCACCGCCCCGCCGCAGCUACGCGCCGCCGCAAGGACAUCACCACGCCCUGAGCGCCCAGGAACAGAGCACCUACAACCCGUCUCAACUGCGAGCCCUGUUCCAAGCCCAGGCGUCUGCGCUGACGGAGCAUAUCCAGGUAACAGCACCAACUAAUGUGUUUGCUAUGGAGGCCAGAAACAGGGGAACCGACAACGGCGACUACAUCCGCAAGUUCUCCGCCAUCGCCGACCGCCUCGGCUUCGACGACGACUCCUCCGGGGAAAAGGCCUGGUCCGCAACUGUCCCUCUGCCCCGAGUCUUCAGCACCCUGCGGGCGGCACUCCUUCCGGCGCCGCCAUCGCCGACGGUGGCGGACGUCGAACGAGCACUUGACGCCAUGGCCGUCGGCACCAAGCAGAGCAGCUUCACGAUGGGCCGCGACGCCGGCUUCAAAGAAGGCCCGCUGCUCUCCGAGGCAGCGCUGCAGCUGACCCCCCAGCUGGGCCAGCGGCCCAAUUCGCCUGGGCUGAGCGCCAUCCGCAUUGGUGGCCUGGUGGUGGGGGGGCUCCACGGGCCGCUCCCUCGCACUGGCCGGGUCACCUUCCUCACCGGCCCAGCUGGGCCAGCGGCCCAAUUCGCCUGGGCUGAGUGCCAUCCGCAUUGGUGGCCUGGUGGCGGGGGGGGGGGCUCCACAGGCCGCUCCCUCGCACUGGCCGGGUCACCUUCCUCACCGGCCCAGGGGGCGACACAUGCCGGCCCGGUGAUGCUUGGGUCCGCUGCCGGGUCCAUAGCCCACGCGGCCUGUCCGGCGGUGAGCCACGAUAGGCCCACUGACUUGGGCCUCAAUUCUCUCAACGCCCAGAAAAGCUCACCGCGCAGUUUGAGGGAGGGAGAUCAAGACCUGAGAGAGAUUGAUUCUCUCUUCUGUAAUCCACCUCCACCACUGCUCCAGGAGCCGGGGCUGCGUCGCCAACGCCAACGCCGCUCCUUCGAUAUGACGGCCGUCCGGAGAAGUGCACGACUCGCAAGGAAACCACCCAUGCCGGUGACCGAGAAGGCGCAGAGGAAUCUAUGCAGGAAACUGGGUUUAACCAACGAAGAGCUGACUCCCAUUGACGACGUCCUUCGCGACUUCCUGUCAAUGUUUCAGGGCCCUCUCCCGGAGACCAUUGUGGCAGCUCUGACGGCCAUCUUUGGAUUGGACGAUGAAGGGGCGGACAUGAUAGAAGAGGCACUCCUGAAUCAUGCUGGCACGGCCGCGGCGGAGCCACAAUUCGAUUAAUGGGAACCCCACGGCUUAGAGCGACGAUAACGUCUUCCCGCGUCUACCGUCACUACAUGUCUUCUAUCCUUUUGUUUGUACCUGUACUGCAAAGCCCUGCUGGCUGCGACCUUCGGGCUCCUACCUUUCCACGCCCUGCUGGCUUCGACCUUCGGGCAAUCAUAUGUAUCAUGAACCUGCGAACUUCCGUAAAACUAGGAGGGCCUGCUGCCCACGUCAUCCGUACGCCAACACCCGCCAACGAACCUUUCUACAUAAACGACGACGUUUUAACUUGCUCCGAUCACCGCUGCGACUUACACCCCAUGCGCACAGCCGCCACCCCAUGACAUACGACAACCUAGAUAUCUUAUCGUGGAACGCCCGGGGACUAAACGCGCCAGCCCGCUGUCUAACCGUGCAUGAUUUAAUGAGAUCGACACCAUGCCAAAUUGCAUGCCUGCAAGAAACUAAAUUACAAUCCAUCGACUCGAGCCUGGCUUCCUUUCUGGGCGCCUACAAAUUAGACAGCUUCACAUAUAAACCGGCGUUAGGUACGAAAGGAGGGAUCCUCCUUCUUUGGAAUGACACGGCAGUACAAAUUCAAAACAUAACAACUGGUAGAUUCUCCAUAACGGCAGAGGUCACAAUCCGGCACUGCAUGACCACCUUUACGUUAACUACGGUAUACGGCCCGGCACGACGCCACGAAAAAGAAACUUUUCUAAGACACAUGCGGUCUCUUAAACCAUCUGACGACACCAAAUGGAUAAUCCUAGGGGAUUUCAAUUUAAUCUACCGUGCAAGAGAUAAAAAUAAUACGAACAUCAACCGGCGGCUCAUGAACAGCUUCAGAAACACCAUCAACUUCUGCGGCUUAAAGGAAAUCAACCUGCAAAACAGGAAAUUCACGUGGAGCAAUGAACGAAGGUCACCAACACUAGUCCGCCUGGACCGAGUCUUCUGCAAUCAAAACUGGGACCUCCGAUUCGAAAACUGUCUGUUACACGUGUUAUCAUCAUCCCACUCGGAUCACUGUCCCGUGCUGCUAACUAAUCACGCCACUAUACGCCGACCUGCAACCUUCAAAUUCGAAAAUUUCUGGGUACGAUUGCCACACUUCCAAGAGAUAGUCUCCACGGCCUGGAACACACCGACCCAGCAUACAGAACCUUUCCAUAGGCUGGGCCAUAAGCUUUAUGUCACGUCGCAGGCGUUACAGCGCUGGAGUAGAUCAAUGCUUUCAGAUACACGUAUGAAGAUACACAUGGCUCAGGAGGUGAUUCUACGUCUAGAUGAGGCACAGGAUACCCGCGCGCUGUCUUCGGCAGAAACACUGCUACGGGGCAAACUGAAGCAGAGGCUCAUGGGGUGGGCCGUCAUAGAGAGAGCCAGGAAAAAACAAUGCUCCAGAGUCACUUAUCUAAAAGAAGGAGAUGCCAACACAAGAUUUUUCCACCUUAAAGCAAAUGGCAGAAGAAGGAAAAACUUCAUUCAGAAAUUACGUCACGACAACGGCUGGGCACUUACCCAUAAUGACAAACUACAGAUCGUACAAGAUCAUUUCCAAAAGAUCAUGCAGGAACCGCCACGCAGGACGCUCGACCUAAACUGGCCAGCUCUUGCUCUCCCGACAGUCGAUCUGUCAAUGCUCGACAACCCUUUCACUGAAGAGGAGAUCCGACAGGCCGUCUCGCAGAUGCCAAAAAACAAAGCGCCCGGACCAGACGGCUUCACAGGCCUUUUCUUCACCACCUGCUGGGAGAUUAUCAAAAGUGACCUCAUGGCGGUGAUAUCCUCCUUCUUUAACUCUCGCUGCACCGAUCUCAACCUUCUGAAUAAAGCCACAAUUAUUCUCAUACCCAAAAAAGAAGGGGCGGAGUGCAUCGCAGACUACAGGCCCAUUAGUCUCAUACACGCCAUCGCGAAGAUUAUAACAAAGACCCUGGCCCUGCGCCUAGCUCCUCUCAUGAACAAACUUGUCUCACCUUGCCAAAGUGCCUUCAUAAAAGGACGAAGCAUCCACGAUAACUUCCUGUACGUCCAAAACCUAGCACGCCGCUUCCACCGACGUAAUCAACCGACCUUGCUUAUGAAACUCGAUAUAUCCAAGGCUUUCGACUCGGUACGCUGGGACUACCUCCUCACCAUGAUGCAACACAGAGGCUUCCCACCAAAAUGGAGGGACUGGAUCGCGGCCAUCCUCACCACGUCAACAUCACGAAUUUCUCUAAAUGGAUUCCCGCUGGACCACAUACAACACGGGAGAGGACUCCGUCAGGGCGACCCCCUAUCGCCGCUCCUUUUCAUCCUAGCAAUUGACCCACUACAGUACCUGCUAUCGGCUGCCACGGAAAAGAGACUACUUCAAAAACUAAACAACCGUGCAACAUUUAUGAGAACAUCCAUGUAUGCCGAUGACGCCGUGAUCUUUGUCAAACCUUCCACACGUGACAUCACAAACUUAAAGACUCUCCUUCAAAAUUUCGGGGAAGCGACGGGGCUCAGAACGAACAUCCAAAAAACGAGUGUCACACCGAUCAGCUGCUCCCACGCUAUCUUUCAGGAUCUGCUCAGUGACCUCCCGGUCGCGCGGAGGAACUUCCCGAUAAAAUACCUGGGCCUCCCUCUAACGGUAGAACGCCUACGCCGCAUUGAUUUCCAACCUCUGAUCGACAAGGUGGCGAGCAAACUCUCAAAAUGGAAGGGCAGAAAUCUCAUGCAAGCAGGCAGACUAUGCCUCACCAAGUCUGUACUAUCCUCACAACCCGUCUACACGCUGACGGCCCUCAGAACGCCCAAGGAAGUACUAGAGGACAUUGACAAAAUCAGAAAACGCUUCCUAUGGGCGGGAGACAAAGAACUUACUGGAGGCAAAUGCAAAAUCAACUGGACGAGGACAACUCUACCGAAAAAACAUGGCGGCGUCGGAAUCCUUGACCUCCAUAAAUUCGCAAGAGCGCUACGCCUUAGAUGGUUAUGGCAUGCAUGGGCUUCCCCAGAUAAGACGUGGGUUGGAACCGAAACACCCUGUGACGACAAAGAUAGACUCCUUUUCGCGGCAUGUACGACGAUCACACUCGGCAAUGGGGCCAACACACGCUUCUGGCAAGAUGCGUGGGUCGCAGGGAGGCGACCAAAGGACAUCGCUCCACAUCUCUACGCGAAAACCAAAAGGAAAAAGAAAACAGUACGGGAGGCCUUCCACCAUAACAGCUGGAUUAGAGAUUUACAACACAGAACAGGCUUCACAAACACUCUAUUCAGCGAAUUCGUAACCUUAUGGCCUCUAAUCCAACAAUACCAGCUAAACUCGGACCAGGAGGACGAAAUUACAUGGAAUUUCACCCAGAGCGGUCAGUACACCUCAGCUUCAGCAUACAAGGCCCAACUACUAGGUAGCGUCAAAACGCCAAACCUGGCAACAGUGUGGCAAGCCUGGGCACCGGCAAAAUGCAAGGUCUUUGCCUGGUUGAUCCUCCAAAACAGGGUUUGGACUUCGGACAGAUUAGCAAAGCGGGGCUGGGACCAUACUCCUACUUGCACCCUAUGCCGCUGCACGAUGGAGACGGCGCAUCACCUCCUAGCUGAAUGCAGAUACACAAAACAAAUCUGGAAGCUCAUAGCCCAAUGGCUAUCACAAGGAAACCUGCAACCGGAGCAAUGGAAACACAGUACAAGGGCCAUUGAUUGGUGGAUCGGCAUCACAUCAACACCAGGGACCCCACGUAAAGCGUGCAGAAGCCUAACCCUACUGAUUAUGUGGGAGUUAUGGAACGAACGAAACUCCCGCAUCUUCCGCCACAAGGGUUCACCGACAACACAACUAAUGGCAAAAAUCAAAUCCUCAGCUAAUAUGUGGAUAGCAGCGGGAGCUAGAGACCUAGCGGCCCUGCUACCGUAAUCACACCGCUCCGAUGCCCCUGCGCCGUUUUUGUUCCCCUUUCCUUUUCCUUCUCUUUUUCUUUUAUUUUCUUGACCGCUCCGCCGGUUGUAUCUCCUCUAUAUCAAUGAAAUAGGCACACUCUCGUGCCCUUUCCGUUCAAAAAAAAAAACUGAGUAGGACUAUAAGGCGUGAACCUAGAGAAUAGGAGAGUCGCAGUACAACUGUACAAGAGGUAUUCCUGCAAUCAGUUCCAGGCAGCAGCACUGCAGCAGGCCAGCAAGCCCUUCUUCAGAUGAACAGACAGUGGCAGCCGCUCCAUCGUUUUGCUGUUCAGCAGCUUUGCUUCCUCAAUACAGUAGGCAUUUUGCUGCAGCCUCGCAGAGGGGGGCACUGCUUUGCACUGGAGUUAAAUGGGUAACUCUUCAAUUGGAUUAGACAGGACGUUGCUGUCUAUUGCAAGCGUGCACGUGCCACGACGCGACAACAGCAAAACGACCGAACCCGAAUCUGCUUGUCUCCCUACUCCUACACACUGACACAGUCACCAACUAGUAUUUGUUUCAGAGAAGAGGGGAUUUAGAGACAAAGCACAGAGAACGGAUAUAUAACAGAGGGAUAAUAAUGAAAGUCCUAGGUGAAGACAACUCCAUUCUUUUUUUCCCCACUAGCAUUUUUUAUCACCUACGUACUGAUUUGGAGUUGCCGUUAGUGUUCGUCACUGAUGAUGAAGGAAAGCCGGCCAGAGCUAGCAAAGCAAAGAGGAACGUUGAUUCAAUUCGUAACCAUGCAUAUCACCAACUUAACACCAGGCAGGCAAAACACUAGCUAAGCAUCAGUCUCAUUAAACUCACUAGCAAAUCACACGAUCGAAGAGACUGCGUGCAUGCCGCAGCGCUAGCUUAUAUAUAACCAAAUAAAAGGAACAUCAGGGGCCCCCGCACUUGCAUCUCCAGCUCAGCGGCUUGUAGUUGGAGCGGUCGUCGUACGACGCCGCCGCCUUCUUCUUCUGCAUCAGCGCCGACGAAGACGAUGCUCCUCCUCUACCACCAUGGGCAUGAUGAUGGGGGAUCUUCUUGUUGUCCUGCUGCGGCGUGAUGGGCACCUGGACGGCCACGCAGCGGCGGCCCCCGCACCACCAGCACAUCCCCGCGCAGAUCGGCGGCCUCGACCCGACCAUGGUCCUCAUCAUGCUAUUGCUCCCCACGCCACCACCCAUGCCCUGCUUGCCACAAGACAAUCCCAUCAAUCGAUCGAUCACAGCAGCAUCCAUUAUCUAUGCAAUACACCUGGUCUGAAGAAAUUCUAAUGUGCAAGCAGAAUCUCUUGCAGCUUAUUAAUAUAUGGAGCAUGAAAUGGUACCUGCAGGGUGACGGCAGCAGCUUGGACGCCAUGGCCUGUGGCAUGCGCGGCUCUGAUGAUCAGGAGAAGCGCCAGCGAGCGGAGGAAGAUACGGUGGCCCAUUCGGUGGAAGAUCGUCGGAUCAAGAAAAGCCGGCAAGCAAGAAAAUGGCUAGCCGGCCGGCUGGCUGGCGAGGAGGAGAGGAGAAGAUGAACAAGCAAGGGACGAUGAAUGCUGGCCAGCUCACAGAGAGAGAGAGAGGGAGGGAGAGAGAGAGAAGGGGGGGGGGGGGGGGGGGGGGGUGAGUGCUGCAACUGCAGGGCAAUAUAUGCGCGAGCCGCCGGGCAAAAGCUAUCCGCGUCUGCUGACUGACAUGAUCCGCAUAUAAAGUGAAGCGAUUGAGUGAAUGGAUCCUCUCGUGAAAGAAGAUGAGGGCCUGUUUGGCACCCGUCGCGUUGAAUGGUUGGAUAUAAUUAAAGUAUUAAAUAUAGACUAAUUACAAAAUUAAUUGUAAAAUUAAUUACAAAACUAAUUGUAAGGAGUCUAAUUUGCGAGACGAAUCUACUAAGCCUAAUUAGUCUAUAAUUUGACAAUGUGGUGCUACAGUAACUAUUUACUAAUGAUGGAUUAAUUAGCCUUACUAGAUUCAUCUCCCGAAUUAGACUCCAUCUGUGCAAUUAGUUUUAUAAUAAGCUCAUGUUUACUCCUUCUAUUUGGCAUCCGAAUAUUUGAUGUGACCCUGCUAAAGUUUAGCACCUCGUAUCCAAACACCCCAUGAAACGGACAGCUGCAGGUUAACUCGUUGCUCAGGGUUUCUCCAGCGCAUGGAUGCACCCCUGGUCCUAAGGUGGGACCCACCAUGAAUUUGACCGGGUCGCAAUGCAAAGAACCAACAGAUGCGUCCAUACGUGGGAUCCGUCUGACUAAAAAAUUCCCCAGCUCGUUGCUUUCCACGGGUUCUCGUCCACUCCAUCCCUAUCCCGCACACCGCCUCCGUCCUCAUCCGCUCGAGGAUCUCGAUCCGCGCCGCUGGCCGUGGCCGUCCGAGCCGCCGCCGCCCGCGCCAAGCAUCCGACUCCAGCUUACACCUCUACUCCAUCGUCUGAGGCCACGGCAACCCCGAACGCGGCAGGCGAAUCUUCCGGCUGGGCUUAGGAGGGCAACGGCGGUGCUCGAGUUCUAGCCCAGUGAGGGGCCACGCCACCCCAGGUGCUCUGCCACUUCGAGGCUUGGUCGCCCACACGAAGAACACUUGACCCCUUUUGAUUAUGUUGCCUGCCUGCUGAAACUUUGCCCCAUGGCUUUUCAGUUGUCCUUUUGACCUUGUUCUUCCUCCUAUGGGCUUGGUUGAAUUGAAUUCUUCUGCUACACUCCUCCAAUAAUACUCCCCAGUCUUGUCAUUUCCAUUAACUGGAUCAACAAAAUGCUUUAGCCAUGCACUUGCUAGCCGCAGGUUCUCCUCCUCUGUGUAAUUGAUUAUCACACCCCUCCUUCCUUUAUCUGGGCUGCUGCCAUUUGAAUCUUUGACUUCUUUUGCUUGCUCUACUUCCCUUCUAUGCGAUUGUGGUGUUGCUGAAUCGGAUCCAUGUGAAGAUGCACCAGUUGGAGACCCAAAUAUUCCACCAGAGUGCACAAAUUGUGGUUGUUGUUGAAAACCUAGAUAAUUUGGUGGAUAUUGGGCAUACUGUUGGAAGUUGCUUGGAGCGCCAAAGGGAUUGAAAUUCUGCAAUCCAUGAGUAGGUGGGCUACUUUGGGGAUACUGUGCAUGGUUGAAAGAUGUGGGAGGAAACUAAGACUGGUUGAAAGAGUUGGGAAUAUGGUUUGGUGUGAAUUUUGGGAUGUGCUAGAAACUUGUACUUUGUGGCCUCCAAGCAAUCUUGAGAAACUUCUAUUUGGUGGAUCCAUCUGAGCCAAUCAAUGUGGUUUGUGUGCUAGUAUUGUGUUGUUUUGAGCUUGAACCUAUCCUCUUCCUAUUCAGUUGUUGGUGUUGCUUUGAGCAUGAACCUUUCAUGUCCUUUUAUGCAAGCUGUAAGGCAACAGCUAGAAGAAGGUUGCAGGAAGAGGAACACAGAUAAAUGAAGAGAAAAAGGCUACAGGAAAGAGGAACACAAAUAGAUGAAAGGUUAUAGGAAGAGCAAUGGGUAGAAGAAAUAGGGAGGCAAUGGUCAAGUGUAGCCGUGCUGACCACAAGUCAAUGGUCAAAACGUGAAUCUGGUGGUGCGGUUGGUAGUUGGAGGUUCUAUACUUGUUGUCAUGCUUGUGUGAGACUUUUGAAUUGUUUAUUUGCUGGUAUCUGGUUCCAUACAUUGAUCCUAUGCAUGGAACUGGCCACACAAUGUCUAGGACCUGGGUCCAUAGCCACACAACACAAUUGGGGGUGUUUGGAUCUUUAGUUCCGACUAAAAUUUAUAUCACAUCGAAUAUUUGGAGGCUAAUUAGGAUGACUAAAUAUGAGCUAAUUAUAAAACUAAUUAUACAUAUGGAGGCUAAUUCUCAAGAUGAAUCUAUUAAGACUAAUUAAUACAUCAUUAGCACGUGUUUACUGUAGCACAACAUUAUCAAAUCAUGGACUAAUUAGGCUUAAUAGAUUCAUCUCACAAAUUAGCCUCUAUCUGUGUAAUUAGUCUAUAUUUAAUACUUCUAGUUAGUAUCUAAACAUUCGAUGUGACAGAAAUUUUAGGAGAUCCUGAAGAAACAAACGGGGCCUAUGUCUAGGACCUGAAUUUAUAGGAGCAUUAAUUGUAUAGGAUCAGAUUUUUCUACACAUUGGAGAGGCCCUCGUAUUUUACCCUUUGCCACUUCACUGCAGGUCUGCAGCCUGCUCAGUCCUACUGUACUAGCUGCCCAUCGGUCUCACAAGCCACACAUUUUGUCUUGCACCAGUGAAGUGCCUGGCUCAACACUCUCCAUGUUUCGACCGCGUUUGGAUGAGCGCACAUUUUCAGAAUCCAAAAUCUAAUAUGUCUCCAAGCGGGAUAGAUUCUGGCUCAGAUUUCAUAAGCUAAAUUUUGGAUUUUGCCUAAUUCUGCACGUGCAUUUUACCAUUUACCCAUCGGUAAUUACCCAAUCUACCACUCUCCACUCAGAGUGGGCAGCAAGGGCAUAAAAGGAAUCUAACCAACAGUUAGAAACCGAUUAACCCGGAUAGAAAACUGUUCCAUUUGUCACGUCACUUAGAUUAGAAAUAAUGUUGGGUUUUACAGACAUCGACCAACACUUGGAUGUUUGAUUGUUUGUUCAAAUAACGUAACGUUGCAGGCCAGGUUAGUACAUAUGGAUGGCUGGGUGUGGAUGACGAUACAUAUAGAGUGUACAUAGUUAGACGAAGAAAUUAGAAGGGCCUUGCGCCGUCGUAGUUGCCCGGCGGCCAGUAGCUGCACAUGAUCAUGGUGUCGCCGUUGUUGCACUUGACGCGGCCGCAGCCGACGGUGGUGGUGCCCUUCCAGACGACGGCGGUGUAGUGGCCGCACAUCUUGCCGGCGUCGCAGGAGUUGGAUCCGUAGUGGUAGCUCCUCUUCUCGUCGCUCCACUGGUCGACGGUGGUCUUCCAGGUGAUGCCGCCCGUGCCGAGCAUGAGGUUCUCGCCGUAGGGCGACGUCGAGUGCACCAUCUUGCACGGGCCCUUGAGCGUCUUCUCCGCGUACUGCUGCGAGAACUUGGCCAGCGUCGCGUUCCACGACAGCGGCGGCACGUGCUCCUUGGCCCGGAACGCGUUGUGCUCCUUGAGGAUGUCGUCGAUCGCCUUCUGGCUCAGGCCGUACUCCGGCUCGCCGGCGGGAUCCAGGCCGUAUCCAGCACCAGCAGGCGUCGUCGUAGACGACGGUGUGCUGCUGCUGCCACCUGAUGAAGCCGGCGUCGUAGACGACGACGACGACGGUGUGCCGCUGCCGUACCCUUUGUUUUUGGUUGAACUUGAAGCGCCGACACCGGAAGCCUUGUCGCCUCCGGUCGACGGGGUAGAUGAUGAUGACGACGACUUCGAUGGCGUCAUCGCCGGUGUUGUAGACGACGGCGUGCCGCUGCUGGAAGCCUUGCCGCCGGUCGACGGGGUAGAUGACGACGACGACUUGGACGGCGUCGCCGGUGUCGGCGACUCGUCCUCGGGGCCGUACGAGUAGGACCAAGCAACAACCGCUGGAGGUGUCGACGACGAUUUCGACGGCGCCGCCGGUGUCGGCGACUCGUCGGGGCCGUGCGAGUACGACCAAGCCUUCUCUGGAGCUUUAUAGUUAUUAUUAACCGGCCUGGCCUCCGGGGUCAGUCGCGGCAGCUGCGCCAAGACCUCCGGCUCCUCAUGGUGGCCGCCGGCCUCUUCCCCAUAGCCGCCGCCGCCGCCGCCGCCGCCGAAGGACUUGCUCGCCGCGGCGAGCUGGCCGGCGGAGAAGAGGAGCAGGCAGAGCACGGCGGCGUUGGAGAUCAUCGUGGCCUGCAUAUGGUCAAGCACUCGUCGGUCGGCCCACGCAUGUGUUCUUGUAGCGACCGGUCGCUGCUAUUCCCGGGGGAGCCAGACCAUGCAUGCAUGCAAAUGGACACGCACUGCAUGCUAUUUUCUUCUCGUUUGACGCGACGGCGAGCCGUCAACCGCGCCCCGCCGCGCAGGAACAAACAAUCCUUGCCAGGCGUCACAAGGAAUGGGCCGGGCGACUAAGCCCAUACAUUCUCAGCCCACGUAAGAAACAUACUCCCUCCGUUCCGUUCCAAAUCAUAGGUUGUUUUAGCAUUUUUAGAUUCAUAACUUUUGCUAUGUAUCUAGUAUCUAGACAUAAUAUAUAUCUAGAUUCAUAACAUCUUAAGUUUUGAAUGGUUACUCUUUUAAAUGUAAGCCGGUUAGCAUUGUAUUGGAAGAAAUAUCCAACUUUAUCAAAACUACAUCAUCUGCUUCAAAGCUGGAAGAAAUUUAUAGUUGGGAUGGUUUUUGCACGCGCUCGGCAUGCAUGGAGCUUCUGAGUGCUGCCCUUACUAGCUUUCCUUUGGAAAGAUGACGUAAGAUGCAUGAAAUAUAGGGGGUAGAGGAAAAGAAAAGAAAAUGGGAGACGAGAAGCUUACCUACCACCGGGCACCUAAACAAAUCACCUUAUAAAUUAAAUUUGUCUUCUCAACUAGCUUGUCACAUUCUUACACCGAAAAAGACUUCACACCGAAAAAGACUGCAGCAACCAGCGACCGGGACUAAUAAUAAGACUUUAUAAGCAGCAACCAUGAUCAAUAAUGUCCUCCACUAACAGAAUUGACGUCAUUAAUCAUAUGCAAGAGGUUGUCCACAUUCUUCCUGAGAGAUCCACGCACUCGACUCAAAGAAGUUUCAGUUUUGAUGGGCCAUUGGGCUGACCAGGUUUUGAUGGGCCAACUGCCGCCCCACACCACGGAGGUGUGGUCCGUGUGGAGGCCCAGUUCAAUUGUUUUUACCUUGCUUUCCACUUAAAAUAUUCUUUUUCCAACGAUUUUAGACUUUCCGACACCAUUUUAGGGGCGAUGGAGUUGUUGGUACGGUGCAAGGCACCCACAUGGUUCCGUUUAACUUUAAAUCCUGGUACCCAUAUUUAGUUGGGAAGAUUCGACCUGAGCAUUUUGCGAGCCACGUCGGGCUAAGACCGAGUGCCGAAAAAAGCUCCGCUCAUGGCGAGUGAAACAUUGUGCUCAUGAAAUUACUGGCGGUUGGUUAGGUCGACCGCCAGCCCAGUGCUCACUGUGAUGGCGGUUGGUUACCUCGUCCGCUAGCAUAGUGAACCACUAUGCUGGCGGUUGGUUAGGUAGCCUGCUAGCAUAGUGGUGUCUGUGUUGGCGGGUGCAUCCAUUUGUGCUGGCUCCAAGUUAGUGGUGGGCGCUCCACCCGCUAGCGUAGUGGUGUUUUACCCGCCACUACAAAUCGAUUUUGGCGUAGUGUUAUCAGACUGAGUUUUUAGGUUGGGCUCGGGCUGACCUGAUUUUUUUCAGACUUUAGUUUUUCGACCACGCUUGGCCCGACAUCUAAACUGGGCGGGCCAAAACCUACCGGGCUCGGCCUGUGCUCGAAAUGCUUAUGGGAAGAUACAAUAAUUUACCGGAUUGUCUCCACUAAUAAAAGUUGUAUACUCCUAUACGUCCAGCGUGGCUUGCCCGUGGCCACGGGGGAGCGACGAGCUCAAGGAGAGAGGCGCAGACCAGAGAGGAGAGAGAUGUGAAUGAGUGGAAUAGGAGAGGAGAGAGAUGAAUGAGUGGUAGAGGAGAGGAUAAGGUUGUGCCCGUUGGUGGAAAUGAAAUGUGUGGAGGAGAAUGUUUGAUCAGAUGCUUAGCGGAGCGUCUGGCACCCGUAGCUUAGCAUUACUAAAAUAUAUAUAUAUAUUCCACUUGUCGAUCGGUGUCUCCAUGUCAUCUUGUCAGUUGGCUCUGAACGUCUAGAAAGAAUGCCAAUUGGUGAGCUGCUACAUGAGCGGAAAGCAAGUCGACAUGGAUGGAAGUUGGAAGACUUGGAAUCGGGAGGAAGAAGAUUGUGAGAAGAUGGUGGGGAGGGAAGAGCAGGAGGGAAGAUAGGCAAGAAGCACAAGUGCUGCUGCUGAUCCAGAACCAAAAGCAAUUGGAAAAGGAAUAAAGAAAAGGAAUUGGAAAAGGAAUAAAGAAAAGGAAGAUGAGUGGAAGUAGCAGAGAAUAAAGAAAAGAAGAACCUUCAGCGCCUCCACGUAGCAGAGAAUAAAAAAAAGGAAGAUGAGUGGAAGUAGCAGAGAAUAAAGGAAGAUGAUCGGGAGGAGGAAGAAGAUUGUGAGAGAAAAAGCGCCACCCGCGCCACCCAGCUACCAGAACGAUAUGUGCAUUUGAGCACCACCCCUUCAGCGCCUCCACGACCUCGCCGCCGGGCGCAAGGACGGCGGCGACGGGGCCUUCCACCUCGACGGGGCCUCUUCCUCCGGCGGCGCUCCUCAUUUCUCAGCGUGUGUUCUCGUGAGCUCUGACUGCUCCAAUGUCCGAGCUUGUAGCUAGCAUGGUGGUCGGGCCACUGCUGUCCCUGGUGAAGGAGAAGGCGUCCAGCUACCUCCUGGACCAGUACAAGGUGAUGGAGGGCAUGGAGGAGCAGCAUGGGAAGCUCAAGGUCAUGCUGCCGGCCAUCCUGGAAAGGAUCACUGCCGCAGAGAAGCAGGCAACCUCCAGAGAAGCAAUCAGACCCUGGCUUCAGAACCUUAAGGUGGCGGCAUACGAGGCCAUCCAAGUCUUCGAUGAAUUCAACUAUGAGGCCCUCCGUCGUCAAGCCAAGAAAGAGGGGCGCUACAUCGAGCUCGGGAUGGGCAACCGCAUCAUGUUCCGUUACAGGAUGGGCAACAAGCUUUGCAAGAUUGUGCGCAAUAUUGAGGCCCUUGUCAACCAGAUGCGCGACUUUCGGUUCGACAAACAGCCACAAGCGCAGGUUCAGAUAAAUUAUCUGCGUGAGAAUGACUCCACCAUGGUUGACCCAGAGAUUGUCAGCAGAUCCAGAGAUGAAGAGAAGCAAAAGAUUGUUAGAAUGUUGGUCGAAGAACAAGCUAACAAUAAGGAUCCGAUGGUCGUUCCCAUUGUGGGGAUGGGUGGGUUGGGCAAGACUACCCUAACUCAGCUCAUCUAUAAUGACCUAGAAGUGAAGAAGCAUUUCCACCUACUGAAGUGGGUCUGCGUGUCAGAUGAUUUCGAUAUUUGUAACCUUGCCAACAAGAUCUGCAACGCUUCUGAGAGCAACCUGGAGAGUGCCUUGCAGAACCUUCAGAGAGAACUCGCUGGAAAGAGGUACUUUUUAGAAUUUAUUAAAUUGAUGUUGAUUCACUCAUCUCAAACACGCACACGGGUUUUUUUCCUCACACACGCUCAAAAUACCAUUUAGGCUUCCUCUGGUGGCAUUCACAUAACUUAAGAAAAAGACGUACUCAAAUAGAAACACACUAAUGGCAUGAUUAUUUGUAAUAGGUACCUUCUUGUAUUGGAUGACGUCUGGAAUAAGGAUGAGAACAAGUGGAACAAGCUGAAUGCCUGUCUUAAACAUGGUGAUGUUGGUAGCGCCGUACUAACGACAACCCGUGAUAAAAAAAUAGCUCAACUCAUGGGUACAGUUAAAGGACAUGACAUUGCACGUUUGGACAAUAAAUUCAUCAAGGAAAUUAUUGAGACUAAAGCAUUCAUUUCGCAAGAGAGAAAACCAGCUGAUUUAGCUGGCUUGGUUGAUGACGUUGUUGAGAGAUGUGCAGGGUCUCCAUUGGCAGCGAAGGCACUAGGAUCUGUACUACGCGGCAAGACAACGGAAGAAUGGGAGGCUGUGCUUAGCAAAAGCAUCGCCCAUAACAAGGACGAUCAAAUCCUGCCUAUUCUCAAGCUCAGUUACGAUGACCUGCCAUCACACAUGAAGCAGUGCUUCGCUUUCUGUGCUGUGUUUCCCAAGGACCAUGAGAUUGACGUGGAAAGGCUGAUCCAACUAUGGAUGGCAAAUGACUUUAUUCCCGAACAAAAA